ACGGGAGGCAGCAGUGAGGAAUAUUGGUCAAUGGCCGGAAGGCUGAACCAGCCAUGCCGCGUGCAGGAAUAAGGCCCUAUGGGUCGUAAACUGCUUUUGACGGGGAGCAAUAAGGUCUACGUGUAGACCGAUGAGAGUACUCGUCGAAUAAGCAUCGGCUAACUCCGUGCCAGCAGCCGCGGUAAUACGGAGGAUGCAAGCGUUAUCCGGAUUUAUUGGGUUUAAAGGGUGCGUAGGCUGUGCGGCAAGUCAGAGGUGAAAGCCCGGGGCUUAACUCCGGAACUGCCUUUGAUACUGUCGCGCUGGAAUACGGAUGCCGUGGGAGGAAUGAGUAGUGUAGCGGUGAAAUGCAUAGAUAUUACUCAGAACACCGAUUGCGAAGGCAUCUCACGAAUCCGUCAUUGACGCUGAGGCACGAAAGCGUGGGGAUCAAACAGGAUUAGAUACCCUGGUA
Molecule: ribosomal RNA, 454 nt
Filed under: uncultured Rikenella sp.
Lineage: Bacteria; Pseudomonadati; Bacteroidota; Bacteroidia; Bacteroidales; Rikenellaceae
Description: partial 16S ribosomal RNA
Rfam family: Bacterial small subunit ribosomal RNA
Source: RNAcentral